RNAcentral lists this ribosomal RNA (451 nucleotides) under uncultured Bacillota bacterium. Its description in RNAcentral is "bacterial SSU rRNA". It matches the Rfam family "Bacterial small subunit ribosomal RNA", at positions 9 to 457 of the family's 1533-position model. The record is from RNAcentral. Lineage: Bacteria; Bacillati; Bacillota.
GAGUUUGAUCCUGGCUCAGGACGAACGCUGGCGGCACGCCUAACACACGCAAGUCGAACGGAGAUAUUUUGGUUUACUGAGAUAUCUUAGUGGCGGACGGGUGAGUAACACGUGAGCAACCUGCCUCUGAGAGAGGGAUAGCUUCUGGAAACGGAUGGUAAUACCUCAUAACAUAACGAAGCCGCAUGACUUUGUUAUCAAAGAUUUAUCACUCAGAGAUGGGCUCGCGUCUGAUUAGAUAGUUGGUGAGGUAACGGCUCACCAAGUCGACGAUCAGUAGCCGGACUGAGAGGUUGAACGGCCACAUUGGGACUGAGACACGGCCCAGACUCCUACGGGAGGCAGCAGUGGGGAAUAUUGCACAAUGGGGGAAACCCUGAUGCAGCGAUGCCGCGUGGAGGAAGAAGGUUUUCGGAUUGUAAACUCCUGUCUUAAAGGACGAUAAUGACGG